CUCACAGUGAAGAAACCUGACAAACACUCUGAGCCAGACAGUUAAAGUUAACAUCGACAGAAUAAAUUAUGUUGAUAGUUUGUGCAUCUGAUAUGAAAUGAUGAACAUGGCACUAUCCUUCUGUGGUCUUCUUCCCAAAACCUAUGGCCCCAAUGUAAUCAAGAGAAAAAUAUCAGGCAAACUCUAACUGAGGGAUAUCCCACUAUUGACUCUUUUUUCAGUUGAGAACAAAAGGAGAAAAACACAGUGCUGGUAUAUCCAUCAGGAUAAAAGGGCUAGUUGUAAUGAUUGCUUCUAUCUUCCACAGCUCUAUUUUUUCCCCCAUGAGUAACUAAAAACUCAGAAAAAAAAAAAAAGUAACUGUAAAGCCCAAUCAAGUAAUCGUUUUUCUCUUUUUACCUCACUUUGGCAAUUAAAGGAUGAAGUAUGUAUUCUAUGUCAUCUGGAUGAUGCUGUUUCCCCCAUUGCUGUGGACAUAUCUGGCGGUGGUACGGAAGGGAAGUGGCAGUUCCCAGACCUGCUCCAGUCAUACUGUCCAGUUUGAAGUAAAGUGACAGGAGAGCUGACCAGCAGCAGGCAAAAUCGAGGUCCACAUUCAAGUACAUUUAUCAUUAUAGAAAUGGUUGUUUUCUGAGUCUAGAGCCCUACAGUUGAGCAUAUGAUGCAAAAUUACAUGAGUGAAGUGGCUAUAUCUGACUGUGGGAAUAGUCUAGUAAAACCUUGGGAGUCAUUUUUUUCUCAAUAUUUGAUCAAAAUGAAUUUGAUUAUAUAGUAUAUACUCUGCAAAGCCUCUAUGUUAUCCAAUUUUAUUUUAACUCUGUAUAUGGAUGGGGGUAAAUCCUUUAUUCUUUUUCCUAGGUUGUUGUCAUGUUUUUAGGAACCUACUUUAUAUGAUAAAUUUGAAAUAUUCCUUAUGAAAAGAGUGUGAGGAUUGUCAUUUCUUCUUAUAGAGCCCAUGUAUCAACAUUGCCACACCCACAUAUUUCAAGCAAGCUACUAAGAAGAUAUUUUGAAUUCAUAAGUCAUGUAUAAUGGAAUUUUAUUAUGAAAAUAUAGUUAACCACAGACUAAAUUAAAAUAGUAAACUGAAAUUAUUUUUCAUAUCACAUUCACAUUUUGUAAUGUGCAUAUAUAUAUGUUUAAAAUUUGUUCAUAUAUUUUGUUCUAUGUAUCACAUAUCUUUAACAGCCACUACUUCUUCUCUAAAUGAAUUUAUCAUUAAUCAUUUAGUGAUAAAAAUUAAUGACACAAAUUUUUAAGCAUUUUCAUGUGAUUCUUUGGUAUUUUAUCUUCUUGAAGUAUUUGGAUACUUGAUAGAAUUAAUUUAUUGUGAGAUUAUUGGGAAUUUUACACUGCCAUCUCUUGCACACUCAAGUAGGUGGAAGUUUGGAGAUGCUGGGCAAAUUGCCUAGCCUUUCCAAAAAACCUGCCUACACAUUGCCGGCCCUUUCCAACAGUCUAGAGAAACUCUCAUUUUGGUAACUCUUAAUUUUCUUCAUCCUUUAUAAUUCAUACUCCAAACCGUAGGUGAACAUAGCUUACCUUUGGAAAGAUGAAACUUGUAUUAAACACAUAGCAUUCUUCUGAUUGUUGUAUUUUUAACAUUGGUUGACAUUUGUCCCCCACAUACAUGCUCACAUAUACUGGCCCCUGACUGCCUAGUGUUACCUCACUGUGGAAUCCCAUCUUGGUUUUUGCUUGUAUGUGGGGUUACCUUGCUGACUCUGAAAUUUAUAGCCUUGCAGACUUGAAUAGAUUGCUCUGUUAUAGAUUUCUUAAUCAGUAAAAGUCAGAGGAGGGGCACCUGGGUGGUCCAGGUGGUUAGGAAUCCAAUUCUUGAUCACCACUCAGGUCUUGAUCUCAAAGUUGUGAGUUCAAGCCCCAUGCACUUUUUAAAAAAGAAAAAAAAGUCAGAAGAUUAUUUCUGUCUUGCUAUAAUUUGUCUUAGCAAUGUGAGCUCUAAUCUAAAAUAAAAACCAAGGCAGACUUAUGAUAUACGAUGCCGUUUCUGCAUAGGGGUAGCAAAUUUUUUCUUUUCUUUUCCUCCAAGAAGGUUACAAAAUAAGAAUAAAAUAGAAUUGGUUCUAGCAGGACAAUAUAGGAUGUGAGUAGUUAGUUAUUUAUAAGAAAAUAAUCAUUUGAGUUAGCUGAAUUAUUAAUUUUGCAACAAGAUGUGACAGUAAAAUAGUAUAUUUGAUAGAAACUCUAGGCAACCCUAACAAUCAAUCAAUCAGCAUUGGCUUCUCCACUAAGUGACUGCAUGCAGUUGAAGGAACUAUGUGAGGAAUGUGAGGCGUGUGUGUUGUGGGGCAGGGCAGGAGAGAAUGAGAUGAUAGUACUGCACCCAUAUGUUUCGUGGUAGUGGGAUUGCAUGUGUUUAUGGGAUAUGGGAUGUGCCAAACAAAAUAGAACACUGUCUUUGAUCCUGAUAGCAAAGAAAUGAAUGAUUUUUAUCAAUAAAAUAAUUAAGUGCUAAGAAAAAAA
Molecule: long non-coding RNA, 2484 nt
Filed under: Canis lupus familiaris (dog)
Lineage: Eukaryota; Metazoa; Chordata; Mammalia; Carnivora; Canidae
Description: lncRNA (ENSCAFG00845005801.1)
Source: RNAcentral